GACAAGUUUGCCUCGAUUGUACUAAUUCUAUUUUGCCGUACACUACAGCUGGCAUCUAUAACCCUAGCUAGUGUAGUAUUAUCUCUAUUAAGUAUCCUUGUGGCUCCACUCACUUGUCCAUUCUACAAAGGACGUGUGGCCAUGAGCCUUCUCCUUAUGAGAAACGGCAAAAAAUGGAAUAGGUGUGUGUACCAAUGAAUAUUGGAAGAAAGGGAUAACAUAGAGGAGUGUCA
Molecule: long non-coding RNA, 233 nt
Filed under: Capsicum annuum
Lineage: Eukaryota; Viridiplantae; Streptophyta; Magnoliopsida; Solanales; Solanaceae
Description: long non-coding RNA (CANN_LNC003913)
Source: RNAcentral